This 497-nucleotide ribosomal RNA is filed under the name uncultured bacterium. RNAcentral's name for it is "partial 16S ribosomal RNA". It matches the Rfam family "Bacterial small subunit ribosomal RNA", at positions 28 to 507 of the family's 1533-position model. The record is from RNAcentral.
GAUGAACGCUGGCGGCGUGCCUAAUACAUGCAAGUCGAGCGAACGGACGAGAAGCUUGCUUCUCUGAUGUUAGCGGCGGACGGGUGUGUAACACGUGGAUAACCUACCUAUAAGACUGGGAUAAUUUCGGGAAACCGGAGCUAAUACCGGAUAAUAUUCUGCACCGUAUUGUUCAAAAGUGAAAGACGGUCUUGCUGUCACUUAUAGAUGCAUCCGCGCUGCAUUAGAUAGUUGUUAAGGUAACGGCUUACCAAGGCAACGAUGCAUAGCCGAACUGAGAGGGUGAUCGGCCACACUGGAACUGAGACACGGUCCAGACUCCUACGGGAGGCAGCAGUAGGGAAUCUUCCGCAAUGGGCGAAAGCCUGACGGAGCAACGCCGCGUGAGUGAUGAAGGCCUUCGGAUCGUAAAGCUCUGUUAUUAGGGAAGAACAUAUGUGUAAGUAAAUGUGCACAGCUUGACGGUACCUAAUCAGAAAGCCACGGCUAACUACGUG